RNAcentral lists this RNase P RNA (325 nucleotides) under Candidatus Bathyarchaeota archaeon. Its description in RNAcentral is "RNase P RNA component". It matches the Rfam family "Archaeal RNase P". Rfam says of the family: Ribonuclease P (RNase P) is a ubiquitous endoribonuclease, found in archaea, bacteria and eukarya as well as chloroplasts and mitochondria. Lineage: Archaea; Thermoproteati; Candidatus Bathyarchaeota. The record is from RNAcentral.
GCGAGCUGGUGGGCAGGUGCCGGGCACGCGUUUGCCUGAGGAAACUCCUUCCUCCAUGUGGGGCCACGACGUCGCGAGACGUGGGACGAGAGUUCCGGCGACGGCACAGAAACGAUAUCCCCUCAAGUCCGAUGUGGAUGAGGCGUGGAAGGUCCUCAGAAAUGAGGGCUGAGAUAACCCGCCGACAAGGCUUGUGGAGAGAGUGAGACGGCUGACCCGUGGGGAGCAAGGUCGAAUAGGGGCCCUGUGAAUCCCACAGGAGGGCCCGGGUAGACCGCUUAGCUGAAUCCUGCCUAGAACAGAAGAAGGGUUACGGCCAGCACGC